This 468-nucleotide ribosomal RNA is filed under the name uncultured bacterium. RNAcentral's name for it is "partial 16S ribosomal RNA". It matches the Rfam family "Bacterial small subunit ribosomal RNA", at positions 28 to 507 of the family's 1533-position model. The record is from RNAcentral.
GACGAACGCUGGCGGCGUGCUUAACACAUGCAAGUCGAACGGAAAGGCCCUGCUUUUGUGGGGUGCUCGAGUGGCGAACGGGUGAGUAACACGUGAGUAACCUGCCCUUGACUUUGGGAUAACUUCAGGAAACUGGGGCUAAUACCGGAUAGGAGCUCCUGCUGCAUGGUGGGGGUUGGAAAGUUUCGGCGGUUGGGGAUGGACUCGCGGCUUAUCAGCUUGUUGGUGGGGUAGUGGCUUACCAAGGCUUUGACGGGUAGCCGGCCUGAGAGGGUGACCGGCCACAUUGGGACUGAGGUACGGCCCAGACUCCUACGGGAGGCAGCAGUGGGAAAUAUUGCACAAUGGGCGGAAGCCUGAUACAGCAGCGCCGCGUGCGGGAUGACGGCCUUCGGGUUGUAAACCGCUUUCGCCUGUGACGAAGCGUGAGUGACGGUAAUGAGUAAAGAAGCACCGGCUAACUACGUG